This 492-nucleotide ribosomal RNA is filed under the name uncultured bacterium. RNAcentral describes it as "partial 16S ribosomal RNA". It matches the Rfam family "Bacterial small subunit ribosomal RNA", at positions 29 to 507 of the family's 1533-position model. The record is from RNAcentral.
AGUGAACGCUGGCGGUAGGCCUAACACAUGCAAGUCGAACGGCAGCACAGUAAGAGCUUGCUCUUACGGGUGGCGAGUGGCUGACGGGUGAGGAAUACAUCGGAAUCUACUUUUUCGUGGGGGAUAAUGUAGGGAAACUUACUCUAAUACCGCAUACGACCUAUGGGUGUAAGCAGAUGAUCUUCCUACCUUGCGCGAUUGAAUCUUCUGAUUCCGGAUUAGCUAGUUGGCGUGGUAAAGGCCCACUAAGGCGACGAUCCGUAGCUGGUCUGAGAGGAGGAUCAGACACACUGGGACAGCGCCACGUUCAAGACUCCUACGGAGGGCAGCAAUGGGAAAUAUUGGACAAUGGGCGCAAGCCUGAUCGAGCCAUAGCGAGUGGGUGAAGAAGGCAUUCGGGUUGUAAAGCCCUUUUGUUGGGAAAGAAAAGCAGCAGGUUAAUACCCCACUGUUAUGACGGUACCUAAAGAAUAAGCACCGGCUAACUCCGUG